Molecule: non-coding RNA, 4685 nt
Organism: Equus caballus (horse)
Lineage: Eukaryota; Metazoa; Chordata; Mammalia; Perissodactyla; Equidae
Source: RefSeq, a predicted model, not a curated record
UUCCCCGCGGCGCUUUCCGCGGGGAACUGUGUGAGGGGUGGGGGAAACUUUGAAAGUUGGAUGCUGCAGACCCGAUGACGCAACUAAGACACUGAGAGGUGAAGUAACUGCCAGGAAGGCCAGGAUCUGGGCUUUGCAAUCAGGGUUCUUCUUUUGCUGCAUCUGGAGGCAUGGGUAGCAAGAAACUAAGACGAGUGGGUUUAUCACAAGAGCUGUGUGACCGUCUGAGCAGACAUCAGAUUGUUACCUGUCGGGACUUUUUAUGUCUUUCUCCACUGGAGCUUAUGAAAAUGACUGGCCUUAGUUAUCGAGGUGUCCAUGAACUUCUGUGUAUGGUCAGCAGGGCCUGUGCCCCACAGAUGCAAACGGCUUAUGGGAUAAAGACACAAAGGUCUGCUGCUCUCUCGCCAGCAUUCUUGCCUACAACCCUUUCUGCUUUGGAUGAGGCCCUGCAUGGUGGCGUAGCUUGUGGAUCCCUCACAGAGAUUACAGGUCCACCAGGUUGUGGAAAAACUCAGUUUUGUAUAAUGAUGAGCAUUUUGGCUACAUUACCCAUUGACAUGGGAGGAUUGGAAGGAGCUGUUGUGUACAUUGACACAGAGGCAGCAUUUAGUGCUGAACGACUGGUUGAGAUAGCAGAAUCUCGUUUUCCCAGCUAUUUUAACAAUGAAGACAAAUUACUUUUGACAAGCAGUAACGUUCAUCUUUACCGGGAACUCAGUUGUGAUGAGGUUCUACAAAGGGUUGAAUCUUUAGAAGAAGAAAUUAUUUCAAAAGGAGUUAAACUUGUGAUUAUUGACUCUGUUGCUUCUGUGGUAAGAAAGGAGUUUGAUACACAACUUCAAGGCAACAUGAGAGAAAGGAACAAGUUCUUGGCAAGAGAAGCAGCUUCCUUGAAGUAUUUGGCUGAGGAAUUUUCAAUCCCAGUUAUCUUGACGAAUCAAAUUACCACCCAUCUGAGUGGAGCCCCAGCUUCUCAGGCAGACCUGGUGUCUCCAGCUGAUGAUUUGUCCCCGUCUGAAGGCCCUUCUGGAUCCAGCUGUGUGACAGCUGCACUAGGAAACACCUGGAGUCACAGUGUGAACACUCGGCUGAUUCUCCAGUACCUUGGUUCAGAGAGAAGACAGAUUCUCAUUGCCAAGUCUCCUCUGGCUCCCUUUACCUCAUUUGUCUACACCAUCAAGAAGGAAGGCCUGGUUCUUCAAGGCCAACAGAGGCCAUAGGGACACUAUGACCUUUGUCUAGAGCCGAUGGGGGCACGAUUUGUGAAAUGAAACAGGACUGUGCUGCUUGGAAGAAGGAAACGGAAGCCAACAUAAUGGGGAUUAAUUAGUUGAUUGCUGUUGAGAUGGUAACAGAUUUGCCCUCAUACCAUUGAGCCAGCCAUCUCAGACCUAGCAGGGAAGGAUCUGAGAACUCAUCGGGGGUUUGUCCAGCGUCUCCAACACCAUCAUCCCAACUCUACAGUCAUCGCCACUCUAACAGCUUGAAAGUGAUGCAAAGAUGGAGCAGAAGCCAGUUUGGAUUUAUCCCAGUUCUCUAGGCCCCUCUGGGGUUAAUCAGCAACCACCUAUCUUCGUGUUAAUAACAUAAGCUUCUCUCACUAGAACACCUGGAGGAAACCCAUAGGAAGGCUUAGGAUGAAGCCAAUUUUGCAGUAAUUAUUCUGACCAUCACUCGUUUUAGCUGGGCUUAGACUCUCCAGACAAAACCAGCUUGCCGAGCCUAACCAAGCAGCUGGAUGGAUCUGCAGUUCUCAGUGUUCCUUAAGCUGUCAUGGGCCUUGCUAAUACUUUCCAUGCCCACAUCUCAGCUCAAAGUCUCCUUCUACUGUGAACUUCAGGCAACACCUCCCUAUUUUAGGUACACGGGGUUUAGUGAAAUGUCCUGAGUGCAUCUCACUGGUGGAAUUCUUUAGUGGCAUCUUCCCAGCCCUUUCCCUGCCCUCCCAGCCCAUCCUGAUGGUGGUAUUCACACUUCUGGAGAAAUAAUAGACCUUCUUAAUGGGGAUUGCUCACCACUUUUCCUAGUAACUAACCCAAAUGGCCUUGGGUGUUAGGUGAUUGCCUCUGCAGGGUGAAAGGGCCAGGGUCUGGGAAAGUGGACAGGGUGGAUGGGGUACACAUGGAAAACAGUUCCUUGCUGUAUUCGUCUGCAAAGGCUGCCAUAACAGAACACCACAGAAUGGCUUAAACAACAGAAAUUUAUUUUCUCAUAGUUCUGGAGGCUGGAAGUCCAAGAUCAAGGUGCCAGCAGGUUUGGUUUUCCUUGAGACUUCCGUCCUUGGCUUGCAGGCGAACACCUUCUUACUGGGUCCUCACAUGACCUUUCCUUUGUGUGUGCUGCUAGUGUCUCUUCCUCUUCUUAUAAGGAUCCUAGUCUUACUGGAUUAGAGUCCUGCUCUUAUGACCUCAUGUAACCUUAAUUACCUCCUUUUAAAGGCCCUGUCUCCAAAUACAGUCAUAUUGGGGCUUAGGGCUUCAACCUAUGAAUUUGGGGGGGGACACAGUUCAGUCCCUAACACCUGCCAUAACUCUGUUUCCUUCAAUAGAUCCUUUCCCAUCCUCUGAUGCCGCCCUUCUAAUCCUGAGUGGGAGAGAAGUAGAUACUGGUCAAGAAAUGGCAGGUGUGACUCUGUGCAGUCUGUUUGAAAAUAGCUCCGCUAGGGAGGGAGGGUGACUGAGGUAGACAGAGUGAAAAGAGAGAUGGAUGGAUACAUGAAGGGAUGGUUGGAUGGAUAGACAGAUGGAUGAAUACAUGACUUAGGUAGUACAUUGACAGCACCAGGACAGACAUUACGUUCUAUUUCUUUGAAGUUGUGGCUUUUUACAGUACAGGGGCUGCAAAUUCAAAUGUCAUGCUAGACAGCUAACAGAGUCCUAAAAGGAGGCCAGGUACAAUAAUAGGGAGUAGUGGGGACUGUGACAAAAUGGAAAAAGAACACCCUGCCUAAAGGGGCAGCAUGUGCUCAGCUCCAGCCAAUUGUUACUUUGUGGGAUGCCCACCUAAUGUUGCCAGAACUUCUGACUUUUUAAGGGAAGCCAGAAUCUGGAUUUUCAGAUGAAAUCUUUCUUUAAAUAAAUCUUUAAAUUAUGGCAACUAAUGCAAAAAUUAUAAAAUACUGUGUGGGUCAAAUAAACACAUUUACAGUCUGAAAUGAAUCCUGGAUGCUGCCAGAUUUCUACUCUUAGAAUACUAGAAAGGUGUCUGUAAUGUCAUCAUGUGAGGAGGUGGGUGUUCAGGAGCUCGGGCUCAUGAGUACACUGCCUGGGUUCAUGUUCCAAUCUACCACCUACUAGCAUUGUAAUCUUGGGCAAGUCACCCAGGUAACUCACAGUGCUGUAAAGAUGAAAUUAGUUAAUCCAUGUAGUGCCCAGAACAAUGCUUACUGCCUAGUAAGAAAGCAAUAACUGAGCCAGAAUUAUUAGGCAGCAUCUCUAAACCUUGUGGUUUCCUCAUCUGUAAAAUGGGGGCAACACUUGCCUUUCCUAGCCCCCAAGGGAUUGUUGUGGGAGUAAAAGAAGAAUAUACGUGAAAGGGCUUGCCAAGAGGGGCUUGCGCGUUGCUGAGAAAUAUAGCAUGCGUUGCUCACGUUACUGUGCCUAACAAGGAGGCUCAGCCUUCCCAGAGCAGGGCUGGGAAUCCCUGGGAGGAGGAGGUCAGCAGUAAUUAGAAAUGGUCCUGUGUCCUUCUAAGGGUCAUUUGGCCAUUUUGGUGUCUUAGAAUUUGGUGAGUUUUGCUUUCUUAUUAUGAAAUUUUAAAACAUUCAGAAAAGUAGCAAAAAUAGUAUAAUGAGCACCCAAGUACCCUUGUCUAGAUUUAGUCAUUGUUAGCAUUUGCCGUAUGCGCUUCAUCUUGGUGAGUAUUCCUGGCAGAGAUACAAUCAAGGAGAUGCCAAUGAUUGAGGCCUACCCGUACCGAGCAGGAGCCGAGAGCCUGCACUACCUCAGGAAGUCCUUAUUUUUGCAAGAAAGCAAGACCCAGUCAGCUGUAGAUGGUUGGUUCUUUUGGGAUAGGACCCCAAAGAAGGGAUUUUGGGCAAGAUAGUUUGUUUUAGAUGAUACCUUCGUACCACCUUAAAGAAAGUGAUAUAAACUGGGACACAGAUUGUUUUAUUAUUUAUAAGAUUUUCAUUUAUUGCUUUUUAAGGUUUUUUUGCAAAGAGAAUGUAUUCAUGUAUUACUCAUGUAAUUGAAAACUAAACAUUUCUAAAGAGACUUUCCUGUAGAAAUGUCUCUGGCAUAAAAAAUUCAGGAGUUGAAACUGCGGUGGAUCUGUGAGAAGCCCAGUCAAAUCACGGUGAUGAAAAGAAACGGUGGUCGCUGAAAAUGAAAGGUUUUAGGAGCAGAAACACUCAGACUGAAAGGAAGUAUAUGCCAAUUAUAAAGGGCUCUUUCUGUGAAAGCGUUUAAAAGAGUCUCUAAGACAUAUUGCCCCAUUUCUCAGCAGUAGCCAUUACUGCAUGUAAAUGCGAAGGCUUCUCCCUGGAAAGGAUGUCUUACAACGUGAAAGCAACUAAACUUUGCUUUAAAAUUCUAUUAUUCAGACCCUUCAUUAAUUUAAGCUGACAUUCCUCCUCAAUUGGGGCAAAUCAUCAAAGCUUUAUUGUAUUGAGAACCUUGAAUUCAGCAACAAAGAGUGUGGGCUUUGGAAGGAAGGGAGGGCGGAGAGCUCCUGAGAGCAAU